Molecule: long non-coding RNA, 7412 nt
Organism: Cephus cinctus (wheat stem sawfly)
Lineage: Eukaryota; Metazoa; Arthropoda; Insecta; Hymenoptera; Cephidae
Exons: 9
Source: RefSeq, a predicted model, not a curated record
GUUCAGGGGAAGUUAAGAAAUUUUGGAUUAUCGACUGUGUCGCUUCUCGUUUUUCUCCUAAGUAGCAAAAACAAGAUUACGAAUCUCUAUUGUUAGGUGUUAUUAACUGUAUCUAUGCCGUUCCGCUUCGUGUAUCUUGGUUUAAGGAUUGGAUGAGCUGAAUUAACAAAGAUAUUUGGGGAUUCAGGGAUUAUUUGUUAUUAGACUUGAUUGAGUUAAAUUAGCAGCCCUUGAUAAGCUUAGGAUUAGGCUUCGUGGGUUUAAUUAAUUUUUGACUCUUUAUUGUCAAUUGCUCUAAGGUUAAAUAAGAUGGAUUAUUUUUUAUGCUAUUUACUGUUUAAUAUAUAUAUACACGUGUGUUUGUCUAUUGUAUAAAUAUAAGUUGCUAGUUGAUUCAUGGUAAGUAUCCUCAAGCUAUCCGGUAGUACAUAAAAGUUUCUUGAAUACAAGUCUAUUGGAUGACAGACAUCUCAUGAUGCUCUUUUUCCUGGCUAAAUAAGGUUUCUGAACUCUCGCAAUCCUCAGCAAAGUUUUCUUCUGCUAUAUGAAGAAAUAAAUUCUGUCUGAGUAUCAGCUUGACGAGUUCCGAUUCUACGUGACCAGCCGUGCCUUCCUGAGAAUUAUUUGAAUUGGAUUCGCAGACUAUGAAGACAGAAGCUGUCAAUAAUUUUUAUCGUUUUACCAAAUGGCAUUUAAAACGGACUUUGCUUUUUCGGCGUGGAAGCACAGUGGAAUUUUUUUCAUAUUGGCUUUAUCCUGGUUAGUGGCACACAUGUUACAGUCGAUGGCAACUAAUAAAUAGUACCUCAUAGAUCUGUCUAUCCGGUUCGGUGGUCUGAACCAGACUGAAUCUCCCUCCAGGUUGAUCAAUAAAGUACAGGGCAUGCGCACGUGCCAGGAUUUCAUCUGCUGGUACUGUCUUCCUGGAUACAGGGAGUGAAGAAGGAGGCUUGAGAUGAGAGGAAGGCCGCAGGAGAGGAUGAAGGAAAAAAGAGGACUGUAGCAGCAAUGCAUUUUACACUGAUAGCAGGUUUAUAGAAUUUUUACAGAACCCCAGGUUGUUCCAGGGGAGCGUUGGAUAAGCACACAUAACCAAGAAAUAGUUGGAGAAAGUUUUUAGGGUUGGACGAAUAUGGUGUCUUUGGUUUAUCGCAGACUCUCCAACAGGAUGACGAAUUGUUAUCGUCUCGGGGAAGACUUUCUGGCUGGAGAGAGGUUCGUGGUUUCUAAGAUAAACCAACUGGAUUGUUAGAAACUUUUUAACUGAACAUUUUGCCCGGAGACACUUGUUUCGUUGAGGUUACCAUGUGGGCUGUUUUACGUUAAACCGCUAUUCUACCACGCUUGACUUCUGUGUUAUAUGUUACAUGUGCUGUGUAAGCUUACUAUAGAUUUUCAGGUGGGACGGUGUGCUAUCUUGUCCUGAGUUACGGAUGGCUAUCACGCCAUUUGUAAUUAUUCAACGCAUUAUGAAGAAGGUUACCAAAUUUAAUGUCACCCAGAACAACCGUUAGGUUUGGUCGUUUUAUGUCAUCGUAAAGUAUCACGGACAAGACGAUGGCUGCCACCCGAGAGUGAAGUUCUGGUAGUAAAGCGACUGUCUGUUGCCCUUUUAUUGUCUCAGUAAUUUUCAAUUCGUAUCACGGCUUCUUUAUAUUCCAUGGGGAAACGAUUCGAGUGUGUUUCUGUGCGUAACGCGAUUCCAUAUUUCUGUGUCGAGUACACGGAAUUUAUUUGAUGAAUAUAUCAGUUCGAAGUGCGUAUUGCUUUUACAUAUCGAUUCUGCGAGAUCGGGAUCAUUAAAAGGUUUUAUUUGAAUUCAGCGAGUAAAAUUCGUAUAGAUUUUAAUACUAUUUUUAUAACGAGUAUAGUCCUCGUUUAUGGUGGUCAUUGUGUACCUUUUUUUAAUGAUUUCUUGUAUUAAUUGUAAGAAGUCAAGAAAGAGAUCUCAAGUGACUUUUGAUUAGAGUAUGCUGAUUCGUGUAGGGGAUUAAAUGAGAUAAUUUGAUAUUAAACAUCCAAUUUAUAUCCGUUAUGAUGAACACCCGCUACAUUUUUCAUGUUUAACCUAGCUCACGUGCACUGCACUCGUACUGGCUUUGUACUGGGGUUUUACUUAAUUUCCGGGUUACUUAACGUUAUGGCUAGCAGGCUAUUAUAAAAAGCGGAUAAACUUGGUAUCUAUCCAUGGAUUUACGUCCAUUGUUGUUUAUAGUCAUCGUGAAAUAUUAUACGUCGUUCUGGUUUAUCUUAUAAAGAUUGGAAAGGAUCAGAACACACAUUUUGAGAUUGGAAGAUUGUUUUCCUAUCGAAUUAUGUCGUUCGUAAUUUCCGUUUGUUCAGGUUUCUCGAAAACUUUGUGUACGAUUUCUGUUACCUUGGGGAUUGUUAAAAGCAGCUUGAGGAUUACUCGUGAGGAUUUUGGGAAAGUGUCAAAUAUAUUUGGCUCGUAGACUAUUCAGGGAUUGGAUGGCUUUUAAUGGGGAAUAGAGUCAGGAACAAUAGGUGUGAUAAUAGAGUGGGCUUAUCGCAAUGGUAUAGAUGCGAAAUGAUUGCAUGCAGAUGACACGGGGACAAUGCGUGCAUAUCUCUUGCAAGUGGAUAAUGCAAUUAUGUGAAUUCUAUUGUAAUCGCUGCGACCACGACUUCCGUUGCCGUGAAUUUUCCCAAGUUAUUCUACAUCCAUUACUGGGCUAUUGUUUCCAUUUAUUUCAAUUUUCUGAUGGAAUUAAAGCAUUUUAGGAGAAAUUCAUAUUCUUGAUGACGAAGGUGUCGGAUGAUUUUGCCACGAUUCCAUUUAUGAAAUUUCAGCAGUAAUGGCUACUUGGUGUUAAAGUAUUACCAUGAUAAAUUUGACAGAUGGUAUUAUUAAUUGUAAUCAAAUGGCAUUAGUACAAUUGGGCAAAGCUUCAAUUUUUUUUUUAUUUUUUUAUUUAUAAUCGUUUAUAUCUCGUAGGUGUCACCUGCACGGCUCUCAUUGUAUUUAAAAACGUACAGAUGAAUAUAUUUUUCCCAGAACAAUGGUACUUGUGGCUUUUCCCCUUUUUUUAGAAUUUAUUUCAACGAGCUGAACCGAGUCGUAGUAAAGUAAGAAUUUUUACAGCUGCUUCGCCUGUUUUGGUGCGAUAUGCAAACAAGUGCCGGUCUCCCAUAAAUCUAGGUUUCCCUUUUUUUUUUUCGUUUUUCACUAAAUUUACUGUUUCGCAUAUGACAACGUGCGUUUGGGAGAGUGGCUAUGCUUUAUCCUUAUAAUAUAGAUGGUAUAUCUCUGCUACAUCCUCAAGAGAACCUUAAUGGUUUCAAGCGUAAAAUGAUACAAUAUGUUAUGAAAAAAGGGGAAAAAAUUUAAAAAAUAUAAAAUUCAUAUAAAAAUAUUUAAUAUGAAUCACUCAUACGUCCUGCUUUUUAUAAACAAUUCGUUAAACGUGGCCACUAAAUUUUCAGGAUUGAUUUUUUUUUCUGAAUUCUAAGUAAACUUGACAUGUUCACUCAUAACAUCUAUGAUAAAGUUUCAUUAUAGUUUCUUUGCUUUGUCUAGUUACAAUUUUACGUAUCAUCUUCCCUGAGUGAAGCUGCGUACCCUGGACCUUUUUUGUCUGCUGAAAGGAAUUUCCAAACAAUGCGAUUGGACAGGGCAACGGAUUUUAAUUAUCUGAGAUAAAAGUAUCGACUUUCUUGAUGCUAAAAAGUUACUAUUAAUUCAACUUAUAGAAUCUAAAUACGAUUUUGUAGAAAAUGAACUGGCGAUUCAAUUAAGGAUUAAAGAGAAGCAAUUAAACGUAUAUCCCUAGAAUGCAAUUACAUCAAGAUCGAAUCCACUUAUCUGCUUUAUUGUCUGAAGUUUUAGUAAAAAUUGUUGUUAUUAUUCUCGGCCGUUAUUUCGUCUCUAUAAAAAAAAUCAUGUUUCUUCACUGCGUUAUCAGAGUAUCCAAGAUAAAUGAAUCCUUAUAGAAUUCCCACGACAAAGAAUAUGUCUAAUCUUUCAUUCCAUUAAAAUUUCAUCAUGUAAGCGUUACGGUGUUCGUUCGAAUUAAUUAAAUGAGAGAUUUAACUUACCGACGUAGUAAAUAAUCGAUUUACUCUCUUUUCGCACGAAACGAAUUGUCUCCAUUAAUCCGUCGUAUUCAGCGUUCACCAAUUGAAUAGUAAAGAUAACAAGGGGAUCUGUUGAUUGUGCAAUAAAGAAAAGUCGUCACUAGUCGAAUGUACAGUAGGGUGAAAAUUUUUGUAUUUCAUGAAAAUAAAAUAGCGCCCUUAAUAAAACUAACCUGCUUGGUCUCUUUAGGUGAGAAAAAGGUUGAUUUCUAUGUUGCAAAAAAUUUGAAAUAAACGAAACGUUUAUGCUGGGUUAAUGGAUAUUUUUUUUUUGUAAUUUCAAUCCGAACGAAUAACGUUCUAUAGCUCUCAAUGCGGUCCAGUACUUUCUACUGGGCUUAUGUCGGAACGGAGUAAUCCUACUAAGAAUUGUCGGACAUGUAACGAGGGAUUGAUUCGGUUGUCAAGUUUGGGUAAACUUUCCAGCACGCUCUGUCCGUUCGAGGAUUAAGACUUUGAUAUUGAAGUAACGAAGAAAACGUGAAGAGAAUUGGGAGGAAGGGAGGCUGGAGCUUUAACGUAUAUAUAAUCCUGAUAGGCAUCUUUAUGUUAUGUAACGUGACGUAAGGGUUCGCUCGGUUUAGGAUCAAGCAAAUUGAACGAACUCAAGACAGGGUCAUGGUGAUUUCUUGUCGGUAGAAUCGAGAACUGAUCCGAUCCUGAUAACAGGUACUAGUAUUAUUUUUCAGAGAAGAGUUGAGAUUCUUCAUUUAUUCAGAUCACGUUUCCGCAGCAUCUUUUACCGUGAUGAAAUUUUCGAAUCUGAUUAAAUUCAUUGAAUUAGAUUUAAUUAAAUUUCGCGAUUAUAUUGUCAUUUGGUUUUAUCAUAGGGAAGCACUUUACCCUUCGGAGCUUACGGUGCUUUCUUAGCUUUUGACGAUUCAGUUAUAACGAGCUAUUCGUUGCUUGUUAAUUUCUUUUGCAUUAAUCGGAAUCGAGGAUAUCGAAUAAUUUAUGCGUAUAUUUUGGGACUACAGAAGGUAUUUAUUGGGGGGGUCGGUAUAUUACAGGCAUUGAUGGUAUUUGCCACGUGUACUGCUCGUGACUGUUUUGAAUUACGUGUCUGCUGGUCUACCUGUGAAAAUGGCACGUAUCACAGAAUCUAAAUGGACGUGGAAUCACGUAGGAAACUCUAAAUUGAUUACUCAUGACGAAGAUGGUGGUGAUGGUAGUAUCCUUGAUGUACAAUGCUAGACUAUUCGGGCCUGGUCGAUUGAUAUUUGGUUAAACGCCAAAUGAAAUUGAACACGUUUAUCAGGAAUUUGUGCAAGGUAUUGUUUACAGGUUAUUUCUGCAAUUGGCCCAAAACUGGCAGAAAACUCGAAUAUAACUCACGACUGUGUAUUUUUGGUAAAUACUCUUGUCAAGUCAAUACGUAUUUUCUUGACUGUGUAAAAUUUAAUAUGAACAAUUUUUCUGUUACAUAGAAAUCACCUUGUUAGCCGAGGUUGAAAGUCCAUGAUGAGAUUCAAUACUGCAGAGUUUCCAGGAGCUCGUACCUCUAUAACGAACAAGUGAACCCUUUUAGGGAAAUUUGAAAAGAAAUGAGGCGAGGCAGACGAUUUGAAAUCCCAAUGCGACAUAUACCGAGUGAAACUGCGUCAAAUAAGUGACAGGUGCAUUGAAGUAAAUCAGAAAAUACUUUUGGACAUGAAAAAUGCUAUGAGCUCGCGAUAAGGGAACAAGGCGUAUAAUAAGGAGAUUAAGCGAGAAGGUCAUUUGAUUAUAUGAGAUCGAGCAAGUUUGAAUGCAGUAAUUUCGAUUCUGGAGAAUCGCGAACAGCAGAUGGACGGAUAUUGCGAAAUUGGAAAUUCCAGGAAUAACAUGGUAGCAGAAUUGAACUUCCUUCCGCUCAGCUUUCUCCAGAGAAAAUAUCCAGCAACCGAAUAAGGGGAGCCAGGAUGGAAUUACGUUUGCAAGUGGAAAGCACCAGCAUUUCCUUUUUAUAUUCACAGAUUUUUGCGAGAGUUUCACCCACGGCUGGUUUGCGUCUCUUUAACGUAAGGAUUACACAGAGAAAUUGGAGCGAGCUGUACACGCUCCUUGAGAAACAUUUAUGCAAUGGACUAGCAGCGAGAGAGGUUAUCAAGUAUGCUGGCGACAGAAAUAAACGAGGUUAUGGAUUGUAACGCGUCGCUAGGAUUUUUCAAUGAAGACGAAUAUAAAGAUUGUCUACGUACUACAAUCCAGUUGUCAAACAGAUGUUAUUAUCACAUGUGAGGUAUAAGGAUUCAAUAGAUAUUUUGGAAAAAAUCUAAUUGCUUUUUUAAGCUUUAACUACAAUUUUAGGCAACGUAACCUGAUCGACGUUACCAAAUCCUUGCCUAAAUAGGCAAUUAAUUUUUGAAUGAAGUAUUAGCUGUUGAGUUAACUAGAAAUUUCGAGGGCGGAUUCAUUUUCAAUUACUUGUCAUAUCAAGUAAGAAGGACACUGAACUAGGUUACGAAUGGAGGAUUCUGCUCAUAAGUUAUUCCUGUUUACAAGAGAGGACAAUUGGAGCGAUAGAAAAUUCAUGAAAUACCGCAUUCGAUAGGAGAGUGGCUGGAAACUACGUAUAAACAAUUUGGUGUCAGACUUGCUGUUUUUGAAAGUGCUUCUUGGUUAACUUAUGAAGCAUCAAGUGUUUGCGUGAAAAUAAGGCAAAAUACGUAUAAAGAAAUUAAUGAAAACCGAGAACGAUGAUAACUGACGUUAUCCGUAUUUCUUAAAUAUGUAUGAGUCAAAAUAUUGGACAACAUGUAUUAUCAUGUUGAGAUUACGAAUGAAAGUAAUGACUCAAUUUACACGUAAACAAAAAUUUGCGUUCUUGCAAAAUCCUCGAAAACAAUUCUAUUCCAUAUUUUAUACAGUUUCAAGAAAGUUUUUACGCCCAAGGAGACAAUUCCUGUGCGACGAACUUCGAAUGUUAGAUAACCGAAGGUAUAACCGAUCAAUAGGUAAAACCCUCGGGAGUAUUUUCGAAUCAAUCCCGAAUCUCCACUUUUAGAUUGAUUUACGUUCUAUGCAAUUUCGAUAUGUCGCUGCAAGCACAGUUAACUGCAAAGAGUCAAGUUAACUGCUAUUUGCUAUCAGAUUGAAAUUUUCAAGAGAACUCUGGUUCCAAUUAUCCAAUCCGAAGGUUCAAGCCAGGAGUGAUCGUAUCGCGAUUCUAUUAUCUGCGAAAUUUUCUCAAAUAUUAAACUAUGAAUAAUUCCUUAUCGUAGCAUCGAUUCCGUACCGGUGCAUAUCAGUCAGACUAAAAGAGUGAUAUUUAUUAUUAUUAUUUUUUCACUAUACACCAUGAUUUCUACAAGGAUCUUUCUUAUGCAUAAAAUAAA